This 821-nucleotide ribosomal RNA is filed under the name uncultured bacterium. RNAcentral describes it as "bacterial SSU rRNA". It matches the Rfam family "Bacterial small subunit ribosomal RNA", at positions 43 to 877 of the family's 1533-position model. The record is from RNAcentral.
CAGCUUACACAUGCAGUCGAGGGGUAUAGAAGGCUUGCUUUCUAGAGACCGGCAAACGGGUGCGGAACACGUACACAACCUACCUUUAUCAGGGGAAUAGCCCAGAGAAAUUUGGAUUAAUGCCCCAUAGUAUAUUUUGAUGGCAUCAUUAGAAUAUUAAAGAACUUCGGAUAGAGAUGGGUGUGCGUAAGAUUAGCUAGUUGGUAAGGUAACGGCUUACCAAGGCGACGACCUUUAGCUGAUGUGAGAGCAUGAUCAGCCACACGGGCACUGAGACACGGGCCCGACUCCUACGGGAGGCAGCAGUGAGGAAUAUUGGUCAAUGGACGGAAGUCUGAACCAGCCAUGCCGCGUGAAGGAUGAAGGCGUUCUGCGUUGUAAACUUCUUUUAUCUGAGAAGAAACCACCGAUUUCUAUUGGUGUUGACGGUAUCAGAUGAAUAAGCACCGGCUAACUCCGUGCCAGCAGCCGCGGUAAUACGGAGGGUGCAAGCGUUAUCCGGAUUUACUGGGUUUAAAGGGUGUGUAGGCGGACUUAUAAGUCAGGGGUGAAAUCUCCGAGCUCAACUCGGAAACUGCCUUUGAUACUAUUAGUCUUGAAUUAUGUUGAGGUUGACGGAAUAUAACAUGUAGCGGUGAAAUGCAUAGAUAUGUUAUAGAACACCGAUUGCGAAAGCAGCUGGCUAAACAUAUAUUGACGCUGAGGCACGAAAGCGUGGUAGCGAACAGGAUUAGAUACCCUGGUAGUCCACGCCCUAACGAUGAUUACUCGUCAUUGGCGAUACACAGUCAGUGACAGCGAAACGUUAGUAUCCACCUGGG